RNAcentral lists this unclassified non-coding RNA (240 nucleotides) under soil metagenome. RNAcentral's name for it is "partial contains 5.8S ribosomal RNA, internal transcribed spacer 2, and large subunit ribosomal RNA". The record is from RNAcentral.
AACGCACGAGACCUGCGGACCUGCGGAAGGAUCAUUAUCGAGUUAGGGUCUUCACGGGCCUGACCUCCCAACCCUAUGUUUACCAAACCUAUGUUGCUUCGGCGGGCCCGUCUCACGACCGCCGGGGGACGGUAAGACGUCCUCUGGCCCGUGCCCGCCGGUGGCCAACCAUCCAAAUUCUGAUUCAAACAUGUUAACCUGUCUGAGUGUCAGUUUUUAAUUAAAGCAAAACUUUCAACA